CCCUUAGAUGUUCUGGGCCGCACGCGCGCUACACUGAUGCAUUCAACGAGUCUAAAACCUGCUCUGAUAGGGGUGGGUAAUCUUUUGAAUGUGCAUCGUGAUUGGGAUAGAUGAUUGCAAUUUUUCAUCUUCAACGAGGAAUGCCUAGUAAACGCAAGUCAUCAGCUUGCAUUGAUUACGUCCCUGCCCUUUGUACACACCGCCCGUCGCUCCUACCGAUUGAAUGAUCCGAUGAAUAUCAUGGAUUGAGGAUGCAAGCAGGUUCGCCUGUCUUCAUCUUCGAGAAGUGAAGUAAAUCUUAUCAUUUAGAGGAAGGUGAAGUCGUAACA
This 329-nucleotide ribosomal RNA is filed under the name uncultured eukaryote. Its description in RNAcentral is "partial 18S ribosomal RNA". It matches the Rfam family "Eukaryotic small subunit ribosomal RNA", at positions 1470 to 1796 of the family's 1831-position model. The record is from RNAcentral.